UAUGAUAUAGUGUAAGAUGCACAUGAAAUUUUGAAUUUCAUAGUCUAAGUUUAAUUCUUAGUAUUAUAU
RNAcentral lists this transfer RNA (69 nucleotides) under Japananus hyalinus. Its description in RNAcentral is "tRNA-Gln". It matches the Rfam family "tRNA". Rfam says of the family: Transfer RNA (tRNA) molecules are approximately 80 nucleotides in length. Their secondary structure includes four short double-helical elements and three loops (D, anti-codon, and T loops). Further hydrogen bonds mediate the characteristic L-shaped molecular structure. tRNAs have two regions of fundamental functional importance: the anti-codon, which is responsible for specific mRNA codon recognition, and the 3' end, to which the tRNAs corresponding amino acid is attached (by aminoacyl-tRNA synthetases). tRNAs cope with the degeneracy of the genetic code in two manners: having more than one tRNA (with a specific anti-codon) for a particular amino acid; and 'wobble' base-pairing, i.e. permitting non-standard base-pairing at the 3rd anti-codon position. The record is from RNAcentral. Lineage: Eukaryota; Metazoa; Arthropoda; Insecta; Hemiptera; Cicadellidae.